This 377-nucleotide ribosomal RNA is filed under the name uncultured eukaryote. RNAcentral's name for it is "partial 18S ribosomal RNA". It matches the Rfam family "Eukaryotic small subunit ribosomal RNA", at positions 592 to 976 of the family's 1831-position model. The record is from RNAcentral.
CAAUAGCGUAUAUUAAAGUUGUUGCAGUUAAAAAGCUCGUAGUUGGAUUUCGGGGCAGCCUGGCUGGUCCGCCGCAAGGCGAGUACUGGUCAGCCGCCCUUCCUCUCGAAAGCCCCGACUGCUCUUCGUUGCAGUGGUCGGGUAGUUCGGGACGUUUACUUUGAAAAAAUUAGAGUGUUCAAGGCAGGCCUACGCCUGAAUACAUUAGCAUGGAAUAAUGGAAGAGGACCUCGGUCCUAUUUUGUUGGUUUCCAGGGCCGAAGUAAUGAUUAAGAGGGACAGUUGGGGGCAUUCGUAUUUAAUUGUCAGAGGCGAAAUUCUCGGAUUUAUGAAAGACGAACAACUGCGAAAGCAUUUGCCAAGGAUGUUUUCAUUAA